Long non-coding RNA from Asparagus officinalis (garden asparagus), 396 nucleotides. RefSeq lists it as uncharacterized. NCBI's taxonomy places the organism in Eukaryota, Viridiplantae, Streptophyta, Magnoliopsida, Asparagales, Asparagaceae. The record is from RefSeq and is a predicted model, not a curated record. The transcript has 3 exons.
UAUUGCUCGCCUUGGUAUUCAACAGCUCACUAUCAAAAGACAUAUAGUGAGAGUUUUCAUCCACCUGAUGAUAGUCGGUAUUGGCCUGAAUAUAAUGGACCACGUAUAAUUCCACCUCAGUACCGGAGACAAGCAGGUCGACCACGAUCUGUGCGAAUUAGGGGAACCAUGGAUCAAGGGCGAGAAGGAGUGGUCAAGCACAAAAAAUGUAGUCUUUGCAAACAACCGGGACAUACUCGACCUCGUUGUCCAUCUAGACACAAUAGAUAGCAACUAAUUGGUUUGUACACCAUGGAUCCUGGGCCGGUUAGUGAUGAGGUCUUAUAUGACCAGGCUCAGCAUCGUUCACAUAUUAUAUCCUGUACAGAGAGAGGUCCGAGUAUCGUUAUGGUUGAU